This 800-nucleotide ribosomal RNA is filed under the name uncultured bacterium. RNAcentral's name for it is "bacterial SSU rRNA". It matches the Rfam family "Bacterial small subunit ribosomal RNA", at positions 1 to 759 of the family's 1533-position model. The record is from RNAcentral.
GCCGGGGGUUACGAGUCCUGCUCCGGCGCCAUGGCGGCGCGGGCUUCGAUUAGAGUUUGAUCAUGGUGAAUCUCUGGCGGCGUGUCUUAGCAUGCAGUCGAGGACAGGGGCAGCAAUGCGCUGAGAGCGGCGGACUGGUGAGUAACGCGUGGGUAAUCUACCUUUGGCAUGGGGAUAGCCACUAGAAAUAGUGGGUAAUACCGAAUACGUUCCCUGGGGGGAGGUUUCAGGGAAGAAAGGGUGCUACGGCACCGGCCGGAGAUGAGCUCGCGUCCCAUUAGCUCGUUGGUGAGGUAACGGCCCACCAAGGCGAUGAUGGGUAGCCGGCCUGAGAGGGUGUACGGCCACACUGGGACUGAGAUACGGCCCAGACUCCUACGGGAGGCAUUUUUUUUUGAAUAUUCCGCAAUGGACGAAAGUCUGACGGAGCGACGCCGCGUGGAUGAUGAAGGCCGAAAGGUUGUAAAGUCCUUUUGCUGGGGAAGAAUAAGUGUGGGAGGGAAUGCCCGCAUGAUGACAUGAACCGGCGAAUAAGCCCCGGCCAACUACGUGCCAGCAGCCGCGGUAACACAUAGGGGGCGAGCGUUGUUCGGAAUUACUGGGCGUAAAGGGCAUGUAGGCGGUCUGGUAAGCCUGGCGUGAAGGCCACAGCUCAACUGUGGGAUUGCGUUGGGAACUGCUGGGCUUGAGUUAUGGAGAGGGAGCUAGAAUUCCUGGUGUAGGGUGAAAUCUGUAGAUAUCAGGAAGAAUACCGAUGGCGAAGGCAGCUCCUGGCCGAUGACUGACGCUGAGUGCGAAAG